GAUAAACGCUGGCGGUGUGCCUAAUACAUGCAAGUCGUACGCAUUCCCGUUUUUGAUUGAAGGUGCUUGCACCAGAUUGAUAAAACAUCGGAAUGAGUGGCGGACGGGUGAGUAACACGUGGGUAACCCGCCCAGAAGUGGGGGAUAACAUUUGGAAACAGAUGCUAAUACCGCAUAAUAGAUAGAACCACAUGGUUCUAUUUUGAAAGAUGGCCUUUGUGCUAUCGCUUUUGGAUGGACCCGCGGUGUAUUAGCUAGUUGGUAAGGUAACGGCUUACCAAGGCAAUGAUACAUAGCCGAACUGAGAGGUUGAUCGGCCACAAUGGGACUGAGACACGGCCCAUACUCCUACGGGAGGCAGCAGUAGGGAAUCUUCCACAAUGGGCGCAAGCCUGAUGGAGCAACACCGCGUGAGUGAAGAAGGGUUUCGGCUCGUAAAACUCUGUUGUUAAAGAAGAACGUAUCUAAGAGUAACUGCUUAGGUAGUGACGGUAUUUAACCAGAAAGCCACGGCUAACUACGUGCCAGCCGCCGCAGUAA
RNAcentral lists this ribosomal RNA (540 nucleotides) under uncultured bacterium. RNAcentral describes it as "partial 16S ribosomal RNA". It matches the Rfam family "Bacterial small subunit ribosomal RNA", at positions 28 to 523 of the family's 1533-position model. The record is from RNAcentral.